GACGAACCGAGCGAACGUUGUUCGGAAUCACUGGGCUUAAAGGGCGCGUAGGCGGGUGCUCAAGUCCGUGGUGAAAUCCUCCGGCUCAACCGGAGAACUGCCUCGGAUACUGGGCGUCUCGAGUGUGGUAGGGGUAUGCGGAACUAUCGGUGGAGCGGUGAAAUGCGUAGAGAUUGGAAAGAACACCGAUGGCGAAGGCACUUUACUGGGCUAUUACUAACACUCAGAGACGAAAGCUAGGGUAGCAAAUGGG
Molecule: ribosomal RNA, 253 nt
Filed under: uncultured bacterium
Lineage: Bacteria
Description: partial 16S ribosomal RNA
Rfam family: Bacterial small subunit ribosomal RNA
Source: RNAcentral